Molecule: ribosomal RNA, 484 nt
Filed under: uncultured bacterium
Lineage: Bacteria
Description: partial 16S ribosomal RNA
Rfam family: Bacterial small subunit ribosomal RNA
Source: RNAcentral
AUUGAACGCUGGCGGCAUGCUUUACACAUGCAAGUCGAACGGCAGCGCGGGCUUCGGCCUGGCGGCGAGUGGCGAACGGGUGAGUAAUGCAUCGGAACGUGCCCAGUAGUGGGGGAUAGCCCGGCGAAAGCCGGAUUAAUACCGCAUACGACCUGAGGGUGAAAGCGGGGGACCGAAAGGCCUCGCGCUAUUGGAGCGGCCGAUGUCGGAUUAGCUAGUUGGUGGGGUAAAGGCUUACCAAGGCGACGAUCCGUAGCUGGUCUGAGAGGACGACCAGCCACACUGGGACUGAGACACGGCCCAGACUCCUACGGGAGGCAGCAGUGGGGAAUUGUGGACAAAGGGGGCAACCCUGAUCCAGCCAUGCCGCGUGCGAGAAGAAGGCCUUCGGGUUGUAAACCGCUUUUGUUCGGGAAGAAAUCCUCUGGGCUAAUACCCCGGGGGGAUGACGGUACCGGAAGAAUAAGCACCGGCUAACUACGUG